GACGAACGCUGGCGGCGUGCCUAAUACAUGCAAGUCGAACGAACUCUGGUAUUGAUUGGUGCUUGCAUCAUGAUUUACAUUUGAGUGAGUGGCGAACUGGUGAGUAACACGUGGGAAACCUGCCCAGAAGCGGGGGAUAACACCUGGAAACAGAUGCUAAUACCGCAUAACAACUUGGACCGCAUGGUCCGAGUUUGAAAGAUGGCUUCGGCUAUCACUUUUGGAUGGUCCCGCGGCGUAUUAGCUAGAUGGUGGGGUAACGGCUCACCAUGGCAAUGAUACGUAGCCGACCUGAGAGGGUAAUCGGCCACAUUGGGACUGAGACACGGCCCAAACUCCUACGGGAGGCAGCAGUAGGGAAUCUUCCACAAUGGACGAAAGUCUGAUGGAGCAACGCCGCGUGAGUGAAGAAGGGUUUCGGCUCGUAAAACUCUGUUGUUAAAGAAGAACAUAUCUGAGAGUAACUGUUCAGGUAUUGACGGUAUUUAACCAGAAAGCCACGGCUAACUACGUGCCAGCAGCCGCGGUAAUACGUAGGUGGCAAGCGUUAUCCGGAUUUAUUGGGCGUAAAGCGAGCGCAGGCGGUUUUUUAAGUCUGAUGUGAAAGCCUUCGGCUCAACCGAAGAAGUGCAUCGGAAACUGGGAAACUUGAGUGCAGAAGAGGACAGUGGAACUCCAUGUGUAGCGGUGAAAUGCGUAGAUAUAUGGAAGAACACCAGUGGCGGAGGCGGCUGUCUGGUCUGUAACUGACGCUGAGGCUCGAAAGUAUGGGUAGCAAACAGGAUUAGAUACCCUGGUAGUCCAUACCGUAAACGAUGAAUGCUAAGUGUUGGAGGGUUUCCGCCCUUCAGUGCUGCAGCUAACGCAUUAAGCAUUCCGCCUGGGGAGUACGGCCGCAAGGCUGAAACUCAAAGGAAUUGACGGGGGCCCGCACAAGCGGUGGAGCAUGUGGUUUAAUUCGAAGCUACGCGAAGAACCUUACCAGGUCUUGACAUACUAUGCAAAUCUAAGAGAUUAGACGUUCCCUUCGGGGACAUGGAUACAGGUGGUGCAUGGUUGUCGUCAGCUCGUGUCGUGAGAUGUUGGGUUAAGUCCCGCAACGAGCGCAACCCUUAUUAUCAGUUGCCAGCAUUAAGUUGGGCACUCUGGUGAGACUGCCGGUGACAAACCGGAGGAAGGUGGGGAUGACGUCAAAUCAUCAUGCCCCUUAUGACCUGGGCUACACACGUGCUACAAUGGAUGGUACAACGAGUUGCGAACUCGCGAGAGUAAGCUAAUCUCUUAAAGCCAUUCUCAGUUCGGAUUGUAGGCUGCAACUCGCCUACAUGAAGUCGGAAUCGCUAGUAAUCGCGGAUCAGCAUGCCGCGGUGAAUACGUUCCCGGGCCUUGUACACACCGCCCGUCACACCAUGAGAGUUUGUAACACCCAAAGUCGGUGGGGUAACCUUUUAGGAACCAGCCGCCUAAGGUGGGACAGAUGAUUAGGGUGAAGUCGUAACAAGGUAGCCGUAG
This 1512-nucleotide ribosomal RNA is filed under the name Lactiplantibacillus pentosus. RNAcentral's name for it is "bacterial SSU rRNA". It matches the Rfam family "Bacterial small subunit ribosomal RNA". Lineage: Bacteria; Bacillati; Bacillota; Bacilli; Lactobacillales; Lactobacillaceae. The record is from RNAcentral.